GCUUUUGCUGAUGCAGCUACAUCCCCCAUUGAUUUUCCCAUUGCUCCUGCCUUUGCCAUACCAAAGGUUAUGGUGGCUGCGGGGCUGAAGAAGGAGGACAUUGCCAGGUGGGAGAUCAACGAAGCCUUCAGUGUUGUGAUUCUGGCCAACGUGAAGAUGCUGGACAUCGACCCCAGCAAAGUCAAUGUCAAUGGAGAAGCUGUCUCCCUGGGACACCCCAUUGGGUUAGCAGCAUGGACAGAGAGAGAUAUAGGAUGUCAGGGGUGAGAAUCGUGGGACACAUGGUACAUGCUCUGAAGUCUGGCCAGUACGGCCUGGCUGGGAUCUGCAAUGGUGGUGGUGGAGCCUCCUCUAUCAUCAUCCAGAAGUUAUAGGAAUCUUUAUAUUUUCUCUUUCCCUUAAAUGGGUUAUCAGACAAGCAUAUAAACUGCCUGAACGGAGCUGUUAAACCACUGUUGUAUGUACUGUACAUGGUUUAGAUGACCAUACUGUAUCACUCUAGAAUGUGUCUGAAAUGAAUGACCUCCAUGCGGGCAGCCUUACUGGUCAACUAACGUACUGUACACGUUAACUGAUAU
Molecule: long non-coding RNA, 578 nt
Organism: Coregonus clupeaformis (lake whitefish)
Lineage: Eukaryota; Metazoa; Chordata; Actinopteri; Salmoniformes; Salmonidae
Exons: 3
Source: RefSeq, a predicted model, not a curated record